Molecule: unclassified non-coding RNA, 381 nt
Filed under: soil metagenome
Description: partial contains 5.8S ribosomal RNA, internal transcribed spacer 2, and large subunit ribosomal RNA
Rfam family: 5.8S ribosomal RNA (bases 1-120)
Source: RNAcentral
GAUGAAGAACGUAGCGAAAUGCGAUAAGUAAUGUGAAUUGCAGAAUUCAGUGAAUCAUCGAAUCUUUGAACGCACCUUGCACCCUUUGGCAUUCCGAAGGGUAUGCUCGUUUGAGUGUCAUUGUACUCUCACACUCCCACUCUUUUGGAUUGGGAGCGGUGGACUUGGGUGUUGCUGCUUCACUGUGGCUCGCCUCAAAUGGAGUAGUGCAACUCUCGGUUGGACAUAGUACGGCGUGAUAAGUGUCUUCGCCGGCGCCUCACUAGAGGGUGGCCGAUCGGGAGCUCUGUGCUUCAAACCGUCUUCGGACAAUCUCUGACAACUUGACCUCAAAUCGAGUAGGACUACCCGCUGAACUUAAGCAUAUCAAUACGCGGAGGA